GGCUAGAUAUUUUAAAAAGAAUAUGAGUUUUGUAAACUUAAGGUAAAAAGAUUUUUCUUGCCA
RNAcentral lists this transfer RNA (63 nucleotides) under Xylophaga dorsalis. RNAcentral describes it as "tRNA-Thr". The record is from RNAcentral. Lineage: Eukaryota; Metazoa; Mollusca; Bivalvia; Myida; Xylophagaidae.